UACGUAGGUCCCGAGCGUUGUCCGGAUUUAUUGGGCGUAAAGCGAGCGCAGGUGGUUUAUUAAGUCUGGUGUAAAAGGCAGUGGCUCAACCAUUGUAUGCAUUGGAAACUGGUAGACUUGGGUGCAGGAGAGGAGAGUGGAAUUCCAUGUAUAGCGGUGAAAUGCGUAGAUAUAUGGAGGAACACCGGUGGCGAAAGCGGCUCUCUGGCCUGUGACUGACACUGAGGCUCGAAAGCGUGGGGAGCAAACAGG
This 252-nucleotide ribosomal RNA is filed under the name uncultured bacterium. RNAcentral's name for it is "partial 16S ribosomal RNA". It matches the Rfam family "Bacterial small subunit ribosomal RNA", at positions 524 to 776 of the family's 1533-position model. The record is from RNAcentral.